GCAUUUUUGGUGUGGUCCCUGAGCCAGCUGGAUAAACUAUCAGCGGCAGCCUCAGGAAGUGGCUCUAUGCUGGGGAAUGGGAGAGGGGUUAGCACCCUUUCCACCUGAACACCAGCAUUGGCUCUACUUGGAAACUCCCCACGAGGACACCAGAGGAGAGAGAAAACCAGCCUCCAAAGAUGCCAGAAGUGGAUAAGAGGCCACUGGUACUUCCCUGCAAGAAGACAACACCAGAGCAAUGAUACUUUGAACUUCUUUCAUCCAAAGCUCUCCAAGUGAUUUUCAGAUAUUCAUUAAAUAAGCUUCACAUCACCCCAGAGCUCUGAGAUGACUCACACAUUGAGGAACUGUUUUGUGGUUUGGCACAGCCCACCAAACCACAUUUUCAGCUCUUGGACUCAAAUCAAAAAGCAGAUCCAGAUUCUAAAAGAGUGAAGCCUAGCAAAUGUGCGUGCCGCCUAUAGCGACUCGGUGCCAUCAGCUUCUUCAGCUUGGACCGGAUCUGAAAGAACUGCACUUCUCACCUAAUCUCCGUGGCAGCAUCUCACCCCUAGUAGCAUUAACUGUGUUGAACAGAGCUAAAGGGCAAUCGCCAAAGGUUAAAAACAGAAACACAGUAAGGAUUGGAUCAUAUCAAUUGUAAACAGUCUAAUGUUUUUUAAACGGCCUUUAAAAAAAAAAAAAAAAAGCCAGUCCUGUGAAAUGUAUCAGAUUCUAACACCUUUGCUAAUUCUCACGAUUUGACUGCAAGUCCUGCGAUAUUUGCGGUUUUAUUUAAAGUCCCAAUUCCUGGAGACCAGUGUUUAUGUGAGAAUCUCCGCUAGCUUGCUUUCUUAAGCUUCUAGCCCACAUGGUUGCAGAGGAAAUCAUGAAAAUGUGACCCAAGUACAACUUAAAGGCUCAAAAUCCAGA
This is a long non-coding RNA of Terrapene triunguis (Three-toed box turtle), 912 nucleotides long. RefSeq lists it as uncharacterized. NCBI's taxonomy places the organism in Eukaryota, Metazoa, Chordata, Testudines, Emydidae. The transcript is spliced from 3 exons. The record is from RefSeq and is a predicted model, not a curated record.